GACGAACGCUGGCGGCGUGCCUAAUACAUGCAAGUUGAGCGAUGAAGAUUGGUGCUUGCACCAAUUUGAAGAGCAGCGAACGGGUGAGUAACGCGUGGGGAAUCUGCCUUUGAGCGGGGGACAACAUUUGGAAACGAAUGCUAAUACCGCAUAACAACUUUAAACAUAAGUUUUAAGUUUGAAAGAUGCAAUUGCAUCACUCAAAGAUGAUCCCGCGUUGUAUUAGCUAGUUGGUGAGGUAAAGGCUCACCAAGGCGAUGAUACAUAGCCGACCUGAGAGGGUGAUCGGCCACAUUGGGACUGAGACACGGCCCAAACUCCUACGGGAGGCAGCAGUAGGGAAUCUUCGGCAAUGGACGAAAGUCUGACCGAGCAACGCCGAGUGAGGGAAGAAGGUUUUCGGAUCGUAAAACUCUGUUGGUAGAGAAGAACGUUGGUGAGAGUGGAAAGCUCAUCAAGUGACGGUAACUACCCAGAAAGGGACGGCUAACUACGUG
This 497-nucleotide ribosomal RNA is filed under the name uncultured bacterium. Its description in RNAcentral is "partial 16S ribosomal RNA". It matches the Rfam family "Bacterial small subunit ribosomal RNA", at positions 28 to 507 of the family's 1533-position model. The record is from RNAcentral.